UGGGGAAUAUUGCGCAAUGGGCGAAAGCCUGACGCAGCGACGCCGCGUGGAGGAUGAAGGUCUUCGGAUUGUAAACUUCUGUUAAGUGGGACAAAAGACCUGUUUUUAAUACAAGCAGGGGAUGAUGGUACCACUAGAGAAAGCACCGGCUAAUCUCGUGCCAGCAGCCGCGGUAAUACGAGAGGUGCAAGCGUUAUUCGGAUUUAUUGGGUGUAAAGGGCGCGUAGACGGCAUGUUAAGUUUGUUGUUAAAUCCUCCGGCUCAACUGGAGAUGUGCAGCAAAUACUGGCGUGCUAGAGGAUGGAAGAGAGAAGUGGAAUUCUUGGAGUAGCGGUAAAAUGCGUAGAUCUCAAGAGGAACACCGAUGGCGAAGGCAGCUUCUUGGUCCAUUCCUGACGUU
This 400-nucleotide ribosomal RNA is filed under the name uncultured bacterium. RNAcentral's name for it is "bacterial SSU rRNA". It matches the Rfam family "Bacterial small subunit ribosomal RNA", at positions 355 to 747 of the family's 1533-position model. The record is from RNAcentral.